Equus caballus (horse) is the source of this 3671-nucleotide long non-coding RNA. The record is from Ensembl. NCBI's taxonomy places the organism in Eukaryota, Metazoa, Chordata, Mammalia, Perissodactyla, Equidae.
CUCUUGUUUAAAUUUUAUUAUCAUUGUUAUUAGGAAUAAACCAAUAGAAAUAGGAUUACAAAGGGAAAGGUUCAGGAUGAAUAACUUCUUCCUUAUAAAUUCAAACACAGGUGCACACACACAUGCUGGUCUGUGUGAGUUACUUCCUCCCCACAUUCUGUCCUCCUGCACAAACAGUUAUACAAAACAGUCCGCACAACAAUGUGAGCAGCUGGUACCACAACCUGAGCAAAGGACCCCAGUUGUGUCAAGUCUCAGGCUGACUCUUGGUCGAGAUGACCAGCUUCUCCACGCUAAGAGUACUUGUGGUUUCAUCCUCUUCAUUUGACCCAAAAUAUCCCGGGAGGUCCAGCAUCCUCUGCUCGGCUUCAGUGAGGCCGAAUGAUGUAUUGUCGUAGAAGGCGAACUCGGGGUGCGCGGGAAGCUCUGGCACUUGUCUUUCCGACAUUGAGAAGGGCUCAGAGGACUGACCCUCUGCUGCUGCUGGGCAAGGCGGUAGCUGAACAGCGGUGGGAUUAUCUUCUGCGCGUUGGACUGGAAGCUGUCACUGCCGGAAGCGUCGUCCUCGGGAGUGGCCGGCACGCUGCGCCUGUAGGUCAGAGGGAUGCCCAUGUCCCCCGGGCCCCCCACAGGCCCGUCACCCCCAUCCGAGAAGCUCCCGCGCUGCUGGCUCAGCUCGCAGAUGUUCUCCUCAUCUGAGUUCUUCCGGAAGCUGGGCGAGUGGAGGGAGUUGUGCCGAGCGGGGUGCUGCACUUGGGGGGCGGCCGAACUUCCUCCACAGCGUGAUGAGGACGGUGGCCACGAUGAUGAACAAGCACAGCGAAAUCCCAGUGACCGUCACGAUGUUGUUGGACUUCACCGGGCCCUGCGGCUGAAGAGGAGACGGGCUGGAUGGCCGGAAAGCUACAAAAAAGGCAAGAACAAAUGUAUUCUCUAGUAGUGUUUUCUCUGGUGGUUUUCAGGUCUCUGAGAGGCUUUUCUAAGGACAAAGAUUUCUGGUCCUACAUCUGCAUCUCUGCUGGCAGCUUAAGCCAAACUAAGAAACAGAGACCCAUGUAAGUGAGGUGACCAGAUAAGCCACAAUUAAGGUGAUUCCUGGACUCGGGGGCUCCUGCUGACGCUUGUCUCACAUUUUUCACAAAGAAGUAGCAUGAGGAAAGUUUCAAGGCUCUUCCCGGAUCUCAGCAGAUGCUCACAAGGACUGAGAGCAGAGAAAGCCUCCCUUGUGAUGGAAGCCCAAGCAGGGAAGGAGCAGCGCUGUGGGAAAGACACAGACCUCACCCAGACCCUCCUCCACAUCUGCUCUAUCAACAAAAGCCUCGACCACUGGGGACAAGGCAGCAAACCUUGUAACUCUAAGAGCACGGUUGAAACUCAGUGCCACUACGGAAUGGAGAAGGAAGAAAAUCCUUCACCCCGGGAGGAGCAGACAAUAUCCUGGGCCCAGACUAUGAGAGAGCUUCUACCACUGGGGAGGGGCAGGAUCAUCAGGAAGGCCCCAUCACUGAGACUUUGGGGCACAGCACUUGCCUGAGACUAAGGCUGAACUGGAACAAGAGGAUGCUCUCCCACACCCAUUGCCCGACCCCCAUGCUGCACCAGGCCAGCAAUUACCACGUAUCAAGUAACAACAGUCUACUGCUGAGGCAGGGGCAAGAGUGACAGGAAAACCUCUCUGAUGUACAGGCUCAAGCCUAAAGCUGAGGGUGCAACAGAAGCAUGGAGAAAAACCCUCUGGCAACCCAACUCCUACCCUAAUCACAAAGUAACAUUAGAAAAUUUUGAACUCUGUCAUGCACUGAAGGUAGCCAUAGCAACAGCAAAAGCCCAAACAGCCCCAAUUCCUUACCACAUUGACCCAAUCCCCACACUAAAGGCCUAGCAAAAACAGGGUAUGCCCAUUUCCAGGCAUAAAUACUAUCUGUCGGUGUCUACAAUUCUAAAAAAGAUGUCCAGCUUUCAAACAAAAAUUGUGAGAUACACAAAGAAGCGAGAAAAAACCAUAAACCAUCUAGAGACAAAGUAAUCAAGAGAACCAGACUCAGAUGUGACCCAGAUAUUGGAACUAUCAAAGAGAGAAGUUAAAAUAACUAUAAUUAAUAUGUUAAAGACUUUAGUGGAAAACAUGAGCAAGAUGCAUGAACAGAUGGAAAAUUUCAUCAAAGAUUCAUAAGCUUAAAAGAAUCAAGUGGAAUGAAAUGAAUAGCGUGCUAACAGAGAUGUACGAAUGCCUUCCAGAGGCUCACCAGGAGACUCGACACAGCUGAGGAAAGAAGCAGUGACUCUGAAUACAGAUCAAUAGAAAUCACGAAAACUGAAACAUAAAAAGGAAGAAAAAGAGUGAACAAAACAGAAUAGAAUACACAAGAGGUCUGGGACAAUAUCAGAUAGUCUCUUAUACAAGUAACUGUCAAAUAGCAGGAAUGUAUUAUGUGUUUAUAGGGCAUAUAAAGUAAAAUGUAUGACAACAAUCACACAGAGAAUGGGAGGAAUGAAUUGGGAGUGUACUGUCACAAGACCCUUACACUACAUGUGAAGCAAUAUAACAUUAUUUGAAGGCAGACUGAAAGCAAUUAAAGAUGAAUAUUGCAAAUUCUAGGACAACCACUAAAAAACAUUUUAAGGUAGAAACAAUAAACCAACAGUCUAAAGUAAACCAUAAAAAAUAUUCAAUUAAUAAAAAAGAAGCCAGAAAAAAGGGGGAGAAGAAACAAAGAACAGAUGGAACAAAUAUAAAACUACCAAUAUGGUAGAUCUUGGGGCCGGCCCCGUGGCCGAGUGGUUAAAUUGGCACGCUCCACUGCGGCAGCCCAGGGUUUCGCUGGUUCGGAUCCUGGGCAUGGACAUGGCACUGCUCAUCAAGCCAUGCUAAAGCGGGGUCCCACAUGCCACAACUAGAAAGACCCACAAUUAAAAUAUGCACCUAUGUACCGGAGGGCUUUGGAGAGAAAAAGGAAAAAUAAAAUCUUAAAAAGAAAAAAAGCUGGUAGAUCUUAAUCCAACCAUACAAUGAUUACAGUAAAUAUAAAUAAUCUAAAGACACCAAUUAAAAGACAGAUUGUGAGACUGGAUAAAAAAGCAUGACCCAACUACAUGCUGUUUAAAGAAAAUACCUUAAAUACAAAUACAUAAAUAGGUUAAAAGUAAAAGGAUGGAAGAAGUUAUACCUUGUGAACAUCAAUCAAAAGAAAACUGGAGUGGUUAUAUUAACGUCAGACAAAGUAGAUGCCAGAACAAGGAAUACUACCAGGGAUAAAGAGGGACAAUACAUAGAGAUAAAAGGGUCAAUUCAGCGAGGAGACUUAACAACCCUCACAAGACCAGAGCUUCAAAAUACAUAAAAAACACUCCCCAAACAGUCACUAUUGCUUGAGAAAUGCAAACUUCUCUUCCAAGCAUAGGUGCAACCACUCCCAGAAAGAAUAACUGAGUAGUCCCCUCUUAAAAAAUAAUCCUAAUUGCCUACUCUAUCAGCACCCAUCCAGCCCCAAGACCCAUCAGGUCACGCCAACACUAGGCACCAAAACAACCUCUGCAUAAAAGCCCUUCUUCAUCCUUUAUGAAAAAAAACUCAUACCGCAGUCAAAGGUAUAUUAAGCACUACGAAAACAUGAGGAGAACGUGGAGGGCAGAGACAUUCUCAGGUGAGCCAAGUGGUGCAAUCUUUGGAG